AUGUGCGCGAGUCAUUGGGAUAUAACUAAACCUAAAGGCGUAAUGAAAGUAAAGGUUUACCUUGCGUAGACCGAGGGAGGAUGAGCGAUUUGCCCUUAAAAGUGAUCGCUUCGCACUCCCGGGGCGUCUCGUUCUCAUUGCGAGAAGAGGCGCACCAAAAGCGUACACGCUGGGACCCGAAAGAUGGUGAACUAUGCCUGGUCAGGACGAAGUCAGGGGAAACCCUGAUGGAGGUCCGUAGCGAUUCUGACGUGCAAAUCGAUCGUCGGAACUGGGUAUAGGGGCGAAAGACUAAUCGAACCAUCUAGUAGCUGGUUCCCUCCGAAGUUUCCCUCAGGAUAGCUGGCGCUCGUUGCGUACGAGUUUCAUCCGGUAAAGCGAAUGAUUAGAGGCAUUGGGGUCGAAACGGCCUCAACCUAUUCUCAAACUUUAAAUGGGUGAGAUCUCCGGCUUGCUCGAACUUAUGAAGCCGCGAGACUCGAAUCAGAGUGUCAAGUGGGCCAUUUUUGGUAAGCAGAACUGGCGCUGUGGGAUGAACCAAACGUCGAGUUAAAGCGCCAAAAUCGACGCUUAUGGGAUACCAUGAAAGGCGUUGGUAACUUAAGACAGCAGGA
Molecule: ribosomal RNA, 614 nt
Filed under: Apophylia flavovirens
Lineage: Eukaryota; Metazoa; Arthropoda; Insecta; Coleoptera; Chrysomelidae
Description: eukaryotic LSU rRNA
Rfam family: Eukaryotic large subunit ribosomal RNA
Source: RNAcentral